RNAcentral lists this long non-coding RNA (5506 nucleotides) under Homo sapiens (human). Its description in RNAcentral is "HSALNT0010343". The record is from RNAcentral. Lineage: Eukaryota; Metazoa; Chordata; Mammalia; Primates; Hominidae.
AUUUCAAGUAAAAGAAAACCACACAAAACAAAUGGUUUUAGUUAACCACAUGCUCAGUAUGAAUCCCAGGGCCUGCCAAAGAAAUCUAAAGUAAUCAUAGCAGCAUUAAUGGAUGUAUGAAGUUUACAAUAAAAUCGAUAACAAUCCCCUUGUUCUCUUGGUUGGCUAGAGCACAUCUGCUGGUGGGUUCAACAAAAGGGGCUCCCUUUAAAGAAGAAGACUGAGAAGCUGGAAUGAAUCCAGAGGAAAGGAUGAAAAGCACUCGUUUGAUUACUGAGAGGAUAGCUGGAGAAGUGAAGAAUAAUGUGAUGUUCAGCUCAAACUCCUUGGGGGAAUUCGGUUGUGAAAAUGGAAUUACCCAAGUUGGAUUCCGCCCAGGAUGCCAAGCUUAAGUUAUUGGGGGCUGACUUUGGAGAAGCCAGUACAGUCCAUCAUACUGUUUUCUCAACUAGUUCAUCGUGACAUUCUGAGAUUUUGAAAGGACACCUUUUCCGUGUCAAGCCGUCCCAGGGUGGCUAAUAUGCCUUUGCUCAUUUUUGACAAGACAGAGGGAGGACAGGGUGACAACACAGCAGGAUAAAAGGGGAGAGAGUGGCUGGAUGCUGGCUGUUUAUGCGUGGAUGUUGAGAGUGGAAAAUGCAGAUGGAACUGAGGGUAAGAUGCCAGGGAGUUGCAAGAGGGCUCCUUCUCUGAAUAACCUCAUAUUCCAGAAAACUCAUAAAAUUGGAAAAUAGUUUUAAACAGUGGAAGCCUUCUCUGAGGCAUUUAUAUUCCCUGUUAAUAAGGUCACAAAUAAUCACCUUUAUUAUCAAUCCAAAUAAAGUAUAUGAUGCUGCUCAUGGUAGGAUUGGGAGAGAACCACCCCAAAAUACCUCCCCAACUAGCCUAGUAAGGUGCCUACAGGUUCUACCCAUACUCUUUCUUUGAGUAAAAGCACUAGCUUUCAAAUAUCCUGAGAAAAUGCUGGUAUUUUAACUGGGAGAAGAAGAUCAAUGGACAGGGACAGGGUUGGUUUAUUUAGCUGUCUGCUAAGAGUGCAAGAGAUUUGCGAUGGACUGAAUGUUUAUGUCUCUCCCAAAUUCAUGUAUUGAAAUCCUAAUCCCAAGGUGGAGUAUUAGGAGGUGGGGCCGGUGCACAACAGCAAGUGCUCUCACAGUGGAGAGCUCUGGGAAGGCAAAAACAUCCAUGUGUUUGGAGGACCCAGCAAAUGAGCCAGCAGAUUCAUGCCAACAUAGACAUGUGUGAGCUACUUAAUGGUUGUGGCUUCACUACUUCCCUCCAACUUUCACACAAUAUCUCCUGUGGUCCACACUAAUGGGAAACACGCAGCAAAGGGAAUUCUGGGAAAUGCAGUUCAGCCUCAUCAAGUUGACACCCAUCAAGCCACCAUACCAGGUCAGUUGAUUCCAGGAUGUGUGGCCUUUCCAUGACAACACAUUGCCCCUCCUCAAAUGGCUCUGUCCAUUGCUUGCUCAAUCUUUACACCCAAGAAAGGCAUUCUUCCUAGGUCAGCUCAGUUUAAGUAUUGAUACCACAGGCCUGGAACAGGGCAAGGCACGGUGGAGAAGGAUCAAGAGGUGAGCAUCAUCCUGAGGAGACCCUACAACAAUUAAACUGCAGUUGGAAAGAAAAAGAGUCUCAUCCUUGGGGUGAGCAUAGUAAGGGUGAGGCACUUGGUCUUCCACAUAUCCCUGGCCCCCAGUACCACUUUCUCCCAUAGCCCCAGGUACAGCUGUGCCGUCUCUGUACUGCACUAAAGUGUCCAGCCGAGGGGGAGGGAAGACAGUGGGCUGAAUUAUAGCCCUGCCUUUCUCCCCAGUCUCAGAGAUGUUUCAGCCCAGAGGAAUAAAAGCUUUUUUCCCAAUCCAUGGGCCUGAAGGAGCCACCUUUUUAUAAUUUGCACAAAGGCAUUAGAGGUAUAACUGUGCCCCUUGAAUCAUCUGCCUAUAGCUGUCUGACAUAAUAAAAAAUAUAUAUUUGGUCUUUUACCCCAGUUCCUGACACAUGGGUCUUAAAACCCUCAUCAUUUCCUGAAUGAUAGGAGUAAGAGGAGCACCAUUUGUUAUAUUUGGUCUUAUUCUCUGUUCCCUGGCACAAGAGCUUUUAAGAACCUUGGAAUCUCCAGAGUGAUGACUGUCUUUUUUAUGCUAAUGAGAUGACUAGUACCUGGGGUCCCUAGCCAGCUUCAGGAUGAGGGCUGGUCACCUGAAAGACCAAGCCUUGAUGACAGGGUUAGAACUUUCAGCCAUAUCUCCCUUCCCCAUUCCCCACCUCAACUUCCUGGGAGGGGAGAGGGGCUGGAGAGUGAGUCAAUCACUAACAGCCAGUGAUUGAACCAACCAUAUCUACACAAUGAACCCCCCAUAAAAACCCUAAACAACGGGGUUCAGAGAGCUCCUGGGUUGGUGGACACAUUCACGUGUUGGGAGGGUGGUGCACCCCAACUCCAUGGGGACAGAAGCUCCUGUACUUGGUACCCUUUUGGACCUCCCUCCAGGUACUGCAUUGUCUGUGUGCUCAUUUGUAUUCCUUAUACUCUCCUUUGUAAUAAACUAGUAAUGGUAGAAUGUUUCUGAGUUCUGUGAGCCACUGCAGAAAAUUAUGAAAGCUUAGGGGAUUGUGAGAGCCCCUGAUCUGUAGGCAAGCCGGAAGUUAUGGGUCACCUGGAGACCCACUACUUGCAAUUGGCAAAUGAAGUGGGGGCAGUCUUGUGGGACUGAGUCCUUAAUCUGUGGGGCUUGUGUUAACUGUCAGCACAAGCUAACCAGUGUCAUAAUUGAAGUAAAGUGGACAUCCAGCACCCAGUUGGUGUCCCCAGAGAAUUGGAGAAUUGCUCAGUAUGACCCACACAUUUGGCAUCAGAAGUGUGAAUAGAGAAAAGGGUUUGUUGUUGUUGUUUGUUUGUUUUUCAUUUGAGAAAGCCAAGCCAGGACAGUUUGCCCAGACUUCAGAGACUGCCUUCAGGCUAGCUCAGCUGCUGGUCUACCUGGCUUAAGCCUGAGAGGACCUCCAUGUGAGGAAAGUCGGAGCAGAGAUGAAAAACCAAACAACUAGUUUUACACUGGUCCUCCCAAAGCAUCAGGACAAUGCCACCUUUGUCAGGGCUUUGAAAAGAAAAUAAAUAAUUGUUAACAGGAUCACAUACUUGGUAUUGUGCUGAGGAUGUUAUAUGAAUUAUUCAUUCAAUAAGUGUUUAUUGAUGACCUACUAUAUGCCAGAAAAUAUUCCAGGUGCUGAGGAUAUAGAAGAAAACAGACAAAAAUCCCUGCCCUCAUGGAAUUUACAUUCCAAAGGGAGAAAGGUAAGAGAAUUUAAAAAGUAAAAUAUAUGAUAUGGAAAUGAUGAUAAAUGUCAUAUAGAAAAAUAAAACAAAGAAGGGUGCUAGGAAAUGCUGGUGAGAGUUGAGGAGGGGAAGGUAGCUCUUUUAAAUGUGGUGACCUGGUAAAGAUCUCACUUCAAACUGAUCUGGGGCCAGGUGCAGCGGCUCAUGCCUAUAAUCCCAGCACUUUGAGAGGUGUAGGCUAGAGGAUCGCUUGGGUUCAGGAAUUUGAGACAUAGCGAGAGCCUAUCUGUAUUUAAAACAACAAACACAAACUGAUCCAGAGGACAUUGCAUCAGACAGAUUAUAUUGUUAUCAUUUCACAGAUUAGGAAACUGAAGCUUAGAAUAUGAAAUCUUUUUCUUAGGAAAAGAUCUGUUUUCAGCUAUUCAUAUGUUAGAGUCUAUCUCUUCCCUAAGUAUUUGCAUGGCACUUGUUCUUUAGCAGUAGAAUGCAAAGCAAUUUGUACACGGUUAAGGAAUUUUAACACCAAAAGUUGUGCUGAAGGUCUGAGAGAAGAGGAGAGCUUUCAUCUCUUGGGACUCCUACAAUCACAAUGCCUUGGUUGGUGGGUCCUGCGUAUCUAGUCUUCCUCUUGACCUAGAACAAACCACUUCUGAUGCUAGGCAGGGCUCUGUGGCCACAGAACAGCUUUAUGUUGUAGUUUUCUCAGCCAAUUUUUAAUUAGACUUUGUUUUUGUUUUAGCAGUUUUAGGUGCACAACAACAUUGAACAGGAAGUACAGAGUGUUCCCACAAACCCCCUACCCUCACACCAUACAAUCUCCCCAACUAAUGACAUAUUGCCAGAACAGACUUAUUUACAAGGUUAACUUUUUCCCUGUCCUGCCCCUUUCUCACAGAUCAAAUCCGGGCUACAGAUUCCGUUGGUAUUGCUCUUUGGGUCCUGAGUCCCCCAUUGCCUACCUGGGCUGCCCAGGCUGUCAGGGGCCUGCCAUUCUCUCCUUGCAGAUGCACAGUACCUGCAGAGGAUGUACAACGGUGAGCAGGGCAAAUGGGCAAACAGAUGUCAUGGCUCCACAGUACUCGGGGCUGCAAGCUGUGUGGCUGAGGGCUGUUCCUGCCUCGUCCUGUCAACUCAGAGAACCUUCUCCCAGCCAAAGUUAUAAAUUCUUUUCUAGGAAUUUCUCAGCCCUGGAUUUCCCCUUUUGCUUUUUAGUUUCUCAUCCUGAGUUGGCUCAGUCUCUUCUUCAGACUUGCCUAAAAACUCCCCUUUUAGUGUUGAGCCUUGAAUAAAUUUUUGUCUGCUGCCACGGCUGAGUCACUGCCUAGGUGCUGUGUCCAUACUGUCUCUAGAAGGCUGCCUGGCCCUGGGGCUGAGAGGAAGCAGCGUCCAGCCAGACACCCACACUUUCAGACAGAGCCGCUUCUGAGAAGCAGUGGGAGCCAACUGGGUACAAGUCACAAGGGUAAGCACCACAGAGAAAUACAGAGAUAAACAAGUCUUGGUUUCUGCACUCACUGGGCCUCCAACUUUGGAAAGAAAGAUAUGAUAAGUCCUAAAACAACCAUAAUCCAAGUGGUAAGUGUCCUAAAUAAUGAGGCAGGUAGAAAGUGUUAAGAGAAAGUCUAAAUAAGUCUUGAAAACUCUUUAAAAAGUCUCAUGGAUUUUAAUACAUGCAGGGCCCUAGAUUGGAUUUGGAUGGACGGACUGACAACAGAAAGGGCAUUUCUAUGAAUAUCCCAAUACUCUGUGUGCCCCGUCUGAUCAAAGUACAUAAAUAGAGUAAGUAUAACUCCUUUAUUAUUGAGCCUACUUAAAGCAUUUGUAGAAUCCUGGAUAAAUUUUUGUAUAAUUUUUUUCCUCCCUGUAUAUAUAAGAAAAAAAAUGAUUCUAAACAUUUGAAAACAACCCAGAAUGCAACUUUUGUCUUACAGUUGUUUACCAUAGUGUAGUGCUGUGCUAUUAAGAAUAUCCACGCAGGAUAUAGUUUGGCAGGUGGGGAGAUGGGGAGGGGGAUGGAGAAUGUCAUUAUCAGUUUUUCCCAUAAGAUUUUGAAGUUAACUUCCUGGCAUUUUUGAUGCAAGUUCUUGAUCAGAUUUAUAACUGAAGCACUUAAUAGUCACUAGCAGUUUCUGAGUUAGGGAACGUUACCUGAAAAUAAUUACCUAGCUGGUUUGCAGUACUUCAGAUUUGAUUAUUAUUAUUAUUAUUAUUAUUAUUAUU